Molecule: ribosomal RNA, 383 nt
Filed under: uncultured bacterium
Lineage: Bacteria
Description: bacterial SSU rRNA
Rfam family: Bacterial small subunit ribosomal RNA
Source: RNAcentral
AUUGAACGCUGGCGGCAUGCCUUACACAUGCAAGUCGAACGGCAGCACGGGGGCAACCCUGGUGGCGAGUGGCGAACGGGUGAGUAACAUAUCGGAACAUACCCUAGAGUGGGGAUAACGUAGCGAAAGUUACGCUAAUACCGCAUACGAUCUAAGGAUGAAAGUGGGGGAUCUUCGGACCUCAUGCUCAUGGAGUGGCCGAUAUCUGAUUAGCUAGUUGGUGAGGUAAAAGGCUCACCAAGGCGACGAUCAGUAGCUGGUUUGAGAGAACGACCAGCCACACUGGAACUGAGACACGGUCCAGACUCCUACGGGAGGCAGCAGUGGGGAAUUUUUGGACAAUGGGGGCAACCCUGAUCCAGCAAUGCCGCGUGAGUGAAGAA